GCUCAGGAUGAACGCUAGCUACAGGCUUAACACAUGCAAGUCGAGGGGCAGCAUGGUCUUAGCUUGCUAAGGCCGAUGGCGACCGGCGCACGGGUGAGUAACACGUAUCCAACCUGCCGUCUACUCUUGGACAGCCUUCUGAAAGGAAGAUUAAUACAAGAUGGCAUCAUGAGUCCACAUGUUCACAUGAUUAAAGGUAUUCCGGUAGACGAUGGGGAUGCGUUCCAUUAGAUAGUAGGCGGGGUAACGGCCCACCUAGUCUUCGAUGGAUAGGGGUUCUGAGAGGAAGGUCCCCCACAUUGGAACUGAGACACGGUCCAAACUCCUACGGGAGGCAGCAGUGAGGAAUAUUGGUCAAUGGGCGUGAGCCUGAACCAGCCAAGUAGCGUGAAGGAUGACUGCCCUAUGGGUUGUAAACUUCUUUUAUAAAGGAAUAAAGUCGGGUAUGCAUACCCGUUUGCAUGUACUUUAUGAAUAAGGAUCGGCUAACUCCGUGCCAGCAGCCGCGGUAAUACGGAGGAUCCGAGCGUUAUCCGGAUUUAUUGGGUUUAAAGGGAGCGUAGAUGGAUGUUUAAGUCAGUUGUGAAAGUUUGCGGCUCAACCGUAAAAUUGCAGUUGAUACUGGAUAUCUUGAGUGCAGUUGAGGCAGGCGGAAUUCGUGGUGUAGCGGUGAAAUGCUUAGAUAUCACGAAGAACUCCGAUUGCGAAGGCAGCCUGCUAAGCUGCAACUGACAUUGAGGCUCGAAAGUGUGGGUAUCAAACAGGAUUAGAUACCCUGGUAGUCCACACGGUAAACGAUGAAUACUCGCUGUUUGCGAUAUACUGCAAGCGGCCAAGCGAAAGCGUUAAGUAUUCCACCUGGGGAGUACGCCGGCAACGGUGAAACUCAAAGGAAUUGACGGGGGCCCGCACAAGCGGAGGAACAUGUGGUUUAAUUCGAUGAUACGCGAGGAACCUUACCCGGGCUUAAAUUGCAGAUGAAUUACGGUGAAAGCCGUAAGCCGCAAGGCAUCUGUGAAGGUGCUGCAUGGUUGUCGUCAGCUCGUGCCGUGAGGUGUCGGCUUAAGUGCCAUAACGAGCGCAACCCUUGUUGUCAGUUACUAACAGGUUCUGCUGAGGACUCUGACAAGACUGCCAUCGUAAGAUGUGAGGAAGGUGGGGAUGACGUCAAAUCAGCACGGCCCUUACGUCCGGGGCUACACACGUGUUACAAUGGGGGGUACAGAGGGCCGCUACCACGCGAGUGGAUGCCAAUCCCAAAAACCUCUCUCAGUUCGGACUGGAGUCUGCAACCCGACUCCACGAAGCUGGAUUCGCUAGUAAUCGCGCAUCAGCCACGGCGCGGUGAAUACGUUCCCGGGCCUUGUACACACCGCCCGUCAAGCCAUGGGAGCCGGGGGUACCUGAAGUGCGUAACCGCGAGGAGCGCCCUAGGGUAAAACUGGUGAC
RNAcentral lists this ribosomal RNA (1449 nucleotides) under uncultured organism. Its description in RNAcentral is "SSU rRNA". It matches the Rfam family "Bacterial small subunit ribosomal RNA". The record is from RNAcentral.